GAAAGGAACUAAACAGGAUUCCCUUAGUAAUGGCGAACGAACAGGGAUCAGCUUGGGUUGGAAACCGGGGCUUCUGCCUUGGAUUGUGGCCUUUAGACAUACUACCAACGGCGGCGCGAGCGUAAGCCUCUUGGAACAGAGCGUCUACCUAGGUGAGAAUCCUGUGUUUCGCUUGAUGCCCGCCGUGCACGGUACUUGCUCUCAGAGUCACGCUCCUCGGAAUUGGAGCGUAAAUUGGGUGGUAAAUUUCAUCUAAAGCUAAAUACAGGCUCGAGACCGAUAGCAAACAAGUACCAUGAGGGAAAGAUGAAAAGGACUUUGAAAAGAGAGUUAAAAGUGCUUGAAAUCGCUGAACUGGAAGCGAAUGGAACUAGUGCUCUGGUUGAGAUUGCUGCAGGUGGCUGCAAAAUCUGGGCUCUGGAAUGCAAAUCCUUGGUCUAGUUUGGAGUAGUUGCUUGCAAUGUGUCUCAGCUUGAACAUCAACUUUCAUGCAUGCGUGAGGAUGGCCCUUGGCUCAUGCUGUCUUACUGCGGUGAAAUUCUUGUGCCUUUUGGGAUUCAGGCGUGUGUGGACUGUUGAUCAAUUAGUUCCAUUCGACCCG
Molecule: ribosomal RNA, 601 nt
Filed under: Symbiodinium pilosum
Lineage: Eukaryota; Dinophyceae; Suessiales; Symbiodiniaceae
Description: eukaryotic LSU rRNA
Rfam family: Eukaryotic large subunit ribosomal RNA
Source: RNAcentral